This 404-nucleotide ribosomal RNA is filed under the name Verrucomicrobiota bacterium. RNAcentral describes it as "Verrucomicrobia bacterium partial 16S ribosomal RNA". It matches the Rfam family "Bacterial small subunit ribosomal RNA", at positions 355 to 776 of the family's 1533-position model. The record is from RNAcentral. Lineage: Bacteria; Pseudomonadati; Verrucomicrobiota.
UGGGGAAUAUUGCACAAUGGGGGAAACCCUGAUGCAGCGACGCCGCGUGAGCGAUGAAGGCUUUCGAGUCGUAAAGCUCUGUCCUAUGGGAAGAUAAUGACGGUACCAUAGAAGAAAGCCCCGGCUAAUUACGUGCCAGCAGCCGCGGUAAUACGUAAGGGGCGAGCGUUGUCCGGAAUUAUUGGGCGUAAAGAGUGCGUAGGCGGCAAAUUAAGUCAGAUGUGAAAACUAAGGGCUCAACCCAUAGAUUGCAUCUGAAUCUGAUAUGCUUGAGUCAAGGAGAGGAAAGUGGAAUUCCUAGUGAAGCGGUGGAAUGCGUAGCUAUUAGGAGGAAUACCGGUGGCGAAGGCGACUUUCUGGACUUGAACUGAAGCUGAGGCACGAAAGCGUGGGGAGCGAACAGG